Molecule: unclassified non-coding RNA, 335 nt
Filed under: soil metagenome
Description: partial contains 5.8S ribosomal RNA, internal transcribed spacer 2, and large subunit ribosomal RNA
Rfam family: 5.8S ribosomal RNA (bases 1-120)
Source: RNAcentral
GAUGAAGAACGUAGUGAAAUGCGAUAAGUAAUGUGAAUUGCAGAAUUCAGUGAAUCAUCGAAUCUUUGAACGCACAUUGCGCCCCUUGGUAUUCCGGGGGGCAUGCCUGUUCGAGCGUCAUUUCAACCCUCAAGCUCUGCUUGGUAUUGGGCUCCGUCCUCAGGGACGCGCCUCAAAGACCUCGGCGGUGGCGUCUUGCCUCAAGCGUAGUAGAAAACACCUCGCUUUGGAGUGCUGGGCGUCGCCCGCCGGACGAACCUUUGAAUUUUUCUCAAGGUUGACCUCGGAUCAGGUAGGGAUACCCGCUGAACUUAAGCAUAUCAAUAAGCGGAGGA